AGCGAACGCUGGCGGUAUGCUUAACACAUGCAAGUCGAGCGAGAAAAUGGCUUCGGCCAUGAGUACAGCGGCGGACGGGUGAGUAAUACAUGGAUAAUCUGCCUUUAGGACUGGGACAACCCAGGGAAACUUGGGCUAAUACCGGAUAAGACCACAGAAUCUCCGGAUUCAGUGGUAAAAGGUGGCUUCGGCUAUCACCUAUAGAUGAGUCCAUGUCCCAUCAGGUAGUUGGUGAGGUAACGGCCCACCAAGCCUAAGACGGGUAGCCGACCUUAGCGGGUGAUCGGCCACACGGGGACUGAGACACGGCCCCGACUCCUACGGGAGGCAGCAGUGGGGAAUAUUGGACAAUGGGCGCAAGCCUGAUCCAGCAAUACCGCGUGAGGGAUGAAGGCCUUCGGGUCGUAAACCUCUGUCAGUUGGAACGAUGGGUUUGUAGGUUAAUACCCUGCAAACUUGACGGUACCUUCAAAGGAAGCCCCGGCUAACUCCGUG
RNAcentral lists this ribosomal RNA (495 nucleotides) under uncultured bacterium. RNAcentral's name for it is "bacterial SSU rRNA". It matches the Rfam family "Bacterial small subunit ribosomal RNA", at positions 29 to 507 of the family's 1533-position model. The record is from RNAcentral.